GGAAAGAUUUUUUGGUCAGGGAUGAGCUCGCGGCCUAUCAGCUUGUUGGUGAGGUAAUGGCUCACCAAGGCGUCGACGGGUAGCCGGCCUGAGAGGGUGACCGGCCACACUGGGACUGAGACACGGCCCAGACUCCUACGGGAGGCAGCAGUGGGGAAUAUUGCACAAUGGGCGCAAGCCUGAUGCAGCAACGCCGCGUGAGGGAUGACGGCCUUCGGGUUGUAAACCUCUUUUAGCAGGGAAGAAGCGAAAGUGACGGUACCUGCAGAAAAAGCGCCGGCUAACUACGUGCCAGCAGCCGCGGUAAUACGUAGGGCGCAAGCGUUAUCCGGAAUUAUUGGGCGUAAAGAGCUCGUAGGCGGUUUGUCGCGUCUGCUGUGAAAUCCCGAGGCUCAACCUCGGGUCUGCAGUGGGUACGGGCAGACUAGAGUGCGGUAGGGGAGAUUGGAAUUCCUGGUGUAGCGGUGGAAUGCGCAGAUAUCAGGAGGAACACCGAUGGCGAAGGCAGAUCUCUGGGCCGUAACUGACGCUGAGGAGCGAAAGGGUGGGGAGCAAACAGGCUUAGAUACCCUGGUAGUCCACCCCGUAAACGUUGGGAACUAGUUGUGGGGUCCAUUCCACGGAUUCCGUGACGCAGCUAACGCAUUAAGUUCCCCGCCUGGGGAGUACGGCCGCAAGGCUAAAACUCAAAGGAAUUGACGGGGACCCGCACAAGCGGCGGAGCAUGCGGAUUAAUUCGAUGCAACGCGAAAGAACCUUACCAAGGCUUGACAUAUACGAGAACGCUGCAGAAUGUAGAACUCUUUGGGACACUCGUAACAGGUGUGCAUGAUUGUCGUCAGCUCGUUGUCGUGAAGAUGUUGGGUUUAAGUCCCGGCAA
This 880-nucleotide ribosomal RNA is filed under the name Microbacterium sp. LB-4. RNAcentral describes it as "bacterial SSU rRNA". It matches the Rfam family "Bacterial small subunit ribosomal RNA", at positions 201 to 1092 of the family's 1533-position model. The record is from RNAcentral. Lineage: Bacteria; Bacillati; Actinomycetota; Actinomycetes; Micrococcales; Microbacteriaceae.